AUAUGUUCAACGAUGUUCAUAGCAGCACUAUUUGUAAUAGCCAGAAACUGGAAGCAGCCUAGAUGCCCCUCACCUGAAGAAUGGAUAGAGAAAAUGUGGUACAUUUACACAAUGGAGUACUACUCAGCAGAAAAAACAAUGGAAUCUUGAAAUUUGUAGGAAAAUGGAUGGAUCUAGAAGAAACCAUUCUGAGCGAGGUAACCCAAUUGCAAAAAGACAAACAUGAGAAAUCAGGCACGAAGGAAAUGUCUGGAGAUCUACAAAGAUGACACCAGCCUUCAUCCAGCAGCUGGUGGAAGUAGAAGCAGACACCCAUAACUAAUCACCGAACUGAACUGGAACCCAGAUACAGAGAAGGACCAAUGAAGAGCACAGAGGUCCAGACCAAGGCUGGUGAAACCCACAGAAACAGCUGACCUGAACAUCCGGGAACUCUUGCUCCCCAGUCUGAUAGCUGGAAUACCAGCAUGGGACUGAUCCAGACCCCAGGAACAUGGGUUUCUGUGAGGAAACCUUAGAAAUCUAUGGGACCUCCUGUAGAAACCCAGUAUUUAUCCCUAGCAUAGGUGUGGACUUUGGGAGCCUAUUCCAUAUAGAGGAAUACUCACUGAGCCAAGACACAUGGGGGUGGGCCUAGGCCCUAUCCCAAAGGAUACAAUAGACACGAUGACACCCUAUGGAAGGCCUCACCAUACAGGGGGAGCAGAAAAGAUAUGUGACAGAUAAG
RNAcentral lists this long non-coding RNA (727 nucleotides) under Cricetulus griseus (Chinese hamster). RNAcentral's name for it is "lncRNA (ENSCGRG00015041757.1)". Lineage: Eukaryota; Metazoa; Chordata; Mammalia; Rodentia; Cricetidae. The record is from RNAcentral.